UUGGAGGGCAAGUCUGGUGCCAGCAGCCGCGGUAAUUCCAGCUCCAAUAGCGUAUAUUAAAGUUGUUGCAGUUAAAAAGCUCGUAGUUGAAUUUCGGGGUCAGUAGGUUGGUCAUGCCACUGGUAUGUACUGGUCUCACUGAUUCCUCCUUCCUGAUGAGCCGUAAUGCCAUUAAUUUGGUGUUGCGAGGAAUCUGGACUGUUACUUUGAAAAAAUUAGAGUGUUUAAAGCAAGCUAACGCUUGGAUACAUUAGCAUGGAAUAAUGAAAUAGGACGUUCGAUCCUAUUUUGUUGGUUUCUAGGAUUGACGUAAUGAUUAAUAGGGAUAGUUGGGGGCAUUAGUAUUCAAUUGUCAGAGGUGAAAUUCUUGGAUUUAUUGAAGACUAACUACUGCGAAAGCAUUUGCCAAGGAUGUUUUCAUUAAUCAAGAACGAAAGUUAGGGGAUCGAAGACGAUCAGAUACCGUCGUAGUCUUAACCAUAAACUAUGCCGACUAGGGAUCGGAUGAUGUUAAUUUUUUAAUGACUCAUUCGGCGCCUUACGGGAAAC
This 549-nucleotide ribosomal RNA is filed under the name uncultured Glomeromycotina. RNAcentral's name for it is "SSU rRNA". It matches the Rfam family "Eukaryotic small subunit ribosomal RNA", at positions 548 to 1098 of the family's 1831-position model. Lineage: Eukaryota; Fungi; Glomeromycota. The record is from RNAcentral.